UAUAUGACUUACUAAGCCAUUGCUUCAGGAAUUAUGUCUACACAUAGACAAAGGUAUAAUAAUCUCCAGGGCUUUGCUUUCAUUAUGGUUUUGUUGUGCACUUCCUGUUGCUGUCCUGCUUGCGUGUCAGGGCCUGAAUCUGUGAGAGAAAGGGGAAGAGGUUGUAGGUUUUACAAAGCAGUACAGUGGUGCCUCGCAAGACGAAAUUAAUUCGUUCCGCGAGAUUUUUCGUCUAGCGAAUUUUUCGUCUUGCGAAGCACGGUGUCGGAAAAGUUUUGGAAAAGCUUCAAAAAUCACCAAAAACCUCAAAAAAGGCUACCACACCGCAUUCUAUGAGUUGCUCCUCGAAGUCAAGUCGCAACUUAUUAACAGUGUUAAGAAAAAGGAAACAAACUUGCAAGACGUUUUCGUCUUGCAAAGCAAGCCCAUAGGGAAAUUUGUCUUGCGAAGCAGCUCAAAAACCGCAAAACCCUUUCUUCUAGUGAGUUUUUGUCUUGCGAGGCAUUCGUCUUGUGGGGCACCACUGUAUUAGCUAGCAUGGUGAUAGUGUUAGCAGAUCUCUAUACAUAUAUAUCUUUACUUCAAAGUCCAGAAGAACUGUACACCGGAAUCUCCGGAAUGUAGCCUUAUUGGAAUUCACCGAUUGGGUCAGUGUUGCUCCGGGACAGGAGGAAGGAAGUCAAAUAACACCUGAGGUUGAUUCAAAGAAAGAGUUUAUUCUGCUGUCCGGAUAGCAGAAGGCACUUGCGUGAUCAAGUCCACAGCAAGUCCAAAGAAAUGACAGGUUUCAUGCAGUUUAUAUAUCCUCCAGGCACCCUCUCACUCCUCCCCUAGGAGCCCAACCACGUCGGCCUACGUACACAGGUUGACAUCACAUAUGUUCCUGCUCUGGUACUCUCAACCAUAAAAGGAUCUUCCUUCCUGCACCCUGACCAUAAAAGGAUCUUCCUCUUCCUACUCUUAUCUGGGAGAAUAGGUCAUCAUCUGCGGGAACACGCUCUGGCGCUGUUCCCAGAUUGGGUCUGCGCGUCUUUGUGGUCAGCACAUAAGAUAAAGUUCUGACGUGUCUUCUCUCUGUUCUGUUCUACUACUGGUACAGUGAAGGCCAUAGUUGCCGUCACAACUGAUAAAGGAGAGGGCUCUGUUCUUGUUAUGGAUUUACUCAACGGCUUGAGUUUAUGCAUUUUAGCUAAGGAAAAAUAGGGAUUUUGGUGCAGUUUAAAAACUGCCUGCACAGUCAGUUUUUGGGUUUUGGAAACCCAUUCCUUCAGGAAGAAAUAUCAACAACCUCAGAUAUGCAGAUGACACAACCAUGACGGCAAAAAGUGAGGAGGAAUUAAAGAACCUUUUAAUGAGGGUGAAAGAGGAGAGCGCAAAAUAUGGUCUGAAGCUCAACAUCAAAAAAACGAAGAUCAUGGCCACUGGGCCCAUCACCUCCUGGCAAAUAGAAGGGGAAGAAAUGGAGGCAGUGAGAGAUUUUACCUUCUUGGGCUCCAUGAUCACUGCAGAUGGUGACAGGAGCCACGAAAUUGAAAGACACCUGCUCCUUGGGAGAAAGGUGAUGGCAAACCUAGACAGCAUCUUAAAAAGCAGAGACAUCACCUUGACAACAAAGGUCCAUAUAGUGAAAGCCAUGGUUUUCCCAGUAGUGAUAUAUGGAAGUGAAAGCUGGACCAUAAAGAAGGCUGAUCGCCGAAGAAUUGAUGCUUUUGAAUUAUGGUGCUGGAGGAGACUCUUGAGAGUCCCAUGGACUGCAAGAAGAUCAAACGCAUCCAUUCUUAAGGAAAUUAGCCCUGAGUGCUCAUUGGAAGGACAGAUCGUGAAGCUGAGGCUCCAAUACUUUGGCCACCUCAUGAGAAGAGAAGACUCCCUGGAAAAGACCCUGAUGUUGGGAAAGAUGGAGGGCACAAGGAGAAGGGGACGACAGAGGACGAGAUGGUUGGAUAGUGUUCUCGAAGCUACCAGCAUGAGUCUGACCAAACUGCGGGAGGCAGUGGAAGACAGGAGUGCCUGGCCUGCUCUGGUCCAUGGAGUCACAAAGAGUUGGACACGACUAAACGACUAAACAACAAAUGUGCAUAAACACAAACUCUUUAUGUGUAUUGGUGUUUUCCAUUUAAAUACAAUGUUCACCUUGCCUAUUCCUUAAAAGAAAUAAGGAUACCUCUGUUCAAUAUGAAGUCUUUUGUGUGGCUUAUUGUGUGUCAUCUUUCAAUAAGUCCCAGAGCAUGAAAAGUUUUUAGUCCUAGCAAAAGUUCUGUAUUCACAUAAUAUUGUAAAUGAGAUAGCCUCCAUCUGAUCUUGGAAGCUGACCCUCAAUUCUCUGUUGGCAUACAACCAAGGAGGCGGGGGCAAUUGGGAGGCCCCCAGCUGGCUCCAUCCCACCAGCUGGUGUACCGGACAAACUCCAGUCCUUGGUGCCACAUGAAUCAGCGGCCCAAACUUCAAAAGCUAGGGCAUGCUCUAAUCAGCAGAGAUAACGCUACGCAACAGAAGUAUGUGUGAGCAUAUUUACAAGCAGUUUAUUCAGCAUACAUCAGGACAAAAGGAAAACAUGUCUGAUCCCCUUCAUGUCCAAAACAAGCAGCAUUAGCAAUAGCUAUACACAAAACGAAAGUUCCCAGCAAGCUGUGCUGAAGUGUAAACAGGCAUGUGACAUACAACAAUUCCACACGUCUGUUCUUAAGGUGGAACGGAAUUAUGCCAACAUUCUCUGUGUGGAAUUACUUCUCCAGUGUAAAACUAUGGUCUAAUAUUUUGUUUCUAAAAGGACUAGGUUUUUGUUUUGUUUUGUUGUUUAAGAUUCUGAUACUUUGUGUCAGUGAUCACUGUGACAGACUCUCUAAACUGAAAAUGGGAACUGGAUAGCAUGACCAAUUUUCUGUUUAAAAGAUACAACUCUCCUUAUUAACAACACUAGAGACUUCAGUUUCCUUACACUUACAUGUGGGUUCCAGCUUUAUGGUUACUCUUCAAAGGCACAACACUUCAUUUUAUACAUGCAUAUUCAUGUAAGGCACAGCAUGUCGUUUCAGGCAGACACUCUUUACACUGAACUUUAAAACCCCAGUCAGCACUUUUCUUCAAACUUCUUCUCAGGAUAGACUAUUUCCACUUACAAUGGGCAUUUGUUUCACUGCCCUAGCAACUAUCUUACAACCCCUUCUAAGACUUUUAAUUCCCCUUCAAGGAAUCAAAUUUGUUAUCCAUGUUUAGCUACAGUAGUUCCUAAUCCCAAUCAGAAUAGGUCCUUCUCUCUCCAGGUUGCUGUCUAAAUGACGAACAGUCCCUAUCUAACUGCAUAAAAUCCCAAUUUGUUGGACAGCAAAGUUCUGUAUUUUUUACUCACCAGUUCUUCCAGAUUGGUUGAUGUUCUAACAAUCUCUGACUGCUGCUAACUCAAGAUCUGUCCACUGCAAUCACAUUUAUCUAUUUGUUAUUCCAUCACACUUCCAUAUGUUUCUAAGGGAAUGGUGAAUACCUCUGGUCCCUGAUCUGUUCUUGUUUCAGGAGUGAUGUAAAAAUCUACACUGGCGGGUGAGGAGGUAUGUCUCUUUUGUGUUUUCUCCUGAGCUUCCUUUAGAUGGCAACAUAUUUUUGCAAAGAGUUUGUAUUAUUUCCCAUGCAUUCUGACACUUCCCUAUCACAGGGCAGUGUUUGUAUUUCUGACUGCCUCCAACAUGCAUGUACUUUUUGCUGAGAUGUUAAUUCAGAUAUGUGCGCAUGUGACAUUCCAGUAAAUCUAUGAAAUCCAGGCAAAGACCAAAAAUCAUUUCAUCUAGGUGCUGUCACUCCUUUGAAAACCUGAAUUGUCUGUUAAAAUGGCUCUUUGCAUGAUGUGGGGUGACAGAGUAGACAGGAAACAUGACCUGUUACUAUCUAUAAACCAGAGGAUUAAGUGCUACUGAGAUGUGUUCAGCCUGUUGUAGGCCACUUUGAAAACUAUGCAAGUGAACAAUGGGGUAUAAACUUCAACAUACAUACAUAAAUGGAUUAUCAACAUGCCAUGUAAUCUGACAAGCGAAGGAAUGCAAGAUGACCAUGUGACACAGGGCAGAUGUUGAGUCUGCAUAUAUGAAUUUAUCAGGAAGAUUUAACUUGAAAUGAUGCUAUAUUCCAGGAACUCCCUUUAAUUACACCUUUUCAGAACAAGCCUGGAAGAUAUAUACAGAGAAGAUUUCCUCAAAGCCAACAGUUUUGAUAAUGCAUUUUUUAUCUCCUUAUUUCUCAUGCUAUAGAUUAUUGGAUUGAACAUGGGUGGUACAAGACUAUACAUCACAGUUAAUGCGAAGUCCCCAUCAGAUGGAGUCUUAGAGGGAGGCCUAAGGUAAGCAAAACAUCCUGUGAAACAAAAUACGGAGAAGACAACAAGGUGAGGUAUGCAAGUGGAGAACGCCUUUUUCCUUCCCUGUACAGAAGGGAUUUUCAGAACUGCAGUGAAGAUGUGCACAUAAGUGACAACAAUGAAGACAAAACAUCCAAACACAACUAUUAUACUCACCACUAUAGCUCCAAUUUCCAUUAGGUAGAAGUUUGAGCAGGCAAGUGUAAGUAACUGUGGAAUCUCACAGAAAAACUGAUUGACAAUGUUGGAGCAGAAAGGGGUUGCAAAAGUUGCACUCGUGUGCAUGACUGCAUUAAGAAUUCCAGCUACCCACACACCAGCAACCAUUUGUUUGCAGGCUGCCAUGUUCAUCAACAUUUCAUAUUGUAAUGGAUUGCAAAUGGCAACAUAGCGAUCAUAUGCCAUGACUGUUAGAAGGGAAAAAUCAGAUGAUAAAAAGAAAACAAAUAAAAGAACUUGAGCAACGCAUCCAGUGUAAGAAAUGUGUCUGGUAUUCAUGAGAGAAUUCACGAUGGAUUUGGGGAUGGUGACUGAAACAGCCCCUAGGUCCUGUAUGGCCAAGUUCAUCAGAAAGAAGUACAUGGGAGUGUGAAGGUGGUGGUCAAAAGCUACAGCAGAGAUGAUGAGAAGAUUCCCAGAUACAGUUGCCAGAUACAAUGCCAGGAACAGAGAGAAGUGUAGAAUCUGCAGUUCUCGUAUUGUUGAGAACUCCAGGAGCAGAAAUUCAGAGACAGAGGAUUCAUUACUUAUUUUCUCCUUCAUUAAUAUAAAUCUUCCUGUCACUGGAAGAAAACAGGAAGAUAUGUAUUGGUUUAAGUCCUCUAGUGAUAACAAAUAUUUACUGCUUUGGAGGAGGGUUUUUGGAUGUUGAAGGUAAAAGAAAGAAGUGAACAAAAAAGGAGAAACAAUUAUUUUUUAUUCAAAUGAGAAUUUAGCUUUCAAUUCCAUAUCGAUAUCAUUAUUUUAAAAAAGACUACCACUGUUUCAAAACUAGUAGAAUGUGGUGUUCACAAGUUCUUGAAGUUGAUUGAAUUCUAGAGGAGGAACACAGGAGUCCUACUGCCAUCAUUUCCUUACUUGCUUUGUUUGUGGAAAUAUGCUGAGGGCAGAUGCACCUUGAGAGAAUCCCCAUAUUUACAAAACAUAUUUUAAUAUUGUAAUUCAUGGUCAAAACUGAAGUAACUCUUAAAUAUAGGGGGAUAACUUGCUGCCUAUAUGAUGCAAAUUCAAAAUCAAGUUUCUUCUCUUAAAUUCCAAUGUCCAUAACAAUCUGGGUCAUGGACAUGUUCAAAGCUUGAUUCCUGAUAUCCCCAUUCACUCAGUGAGUCUUUUGCAGGAGUAACUGAUAAUAGUUCCACAAGACUCACACACUUGGCUCAUACUCACCUGCAUUCUGUAUUCUAGGCCUAAUGUUUAGUACUCCUUCUUAGUUAAGAUCACACAGGUUUCAACUAUUUUUAUCUUUGUUAUAUGUUUUCAACCUUAAUGCAUGCUGCACACAAACCACAUUGUUUUGCAUGUAAAAUGUAUAGGCUCACAGCUGCUUUGCGCUUACCCAGAUAUUUUGGCUGCCACAUUAUGUUAAGCCAAGACAAGGUUCUUCAGCUCCCUCCUCACUCACUUGGAGCGGUAAUGAAGUUUUUUUCUUGGUUAAUAUUCAUGGUUGGUGAGGAGAGAGCCUAACCACUAGUCUUGGCUUGGAUGAUAGGCUAAAACCAAACUUUACAGUAGCUUGAGCUGACCAUAAAAAGCAUCAUGGAGGAGCAAAGCUACUGUACUCUUCUCUCCAUGAGGUUCAACAUUUGUGCAGUCUUCCUAAGAUAAAAUUUGGUUUAGCAUGUCAUGGAAGCCAGAUCAUUGGGUAUUCUACGUGAGUCUAAAUAAGUUCCAGGAACCACAACAAGCACGUUUUCCCAUUCUACACAAUACACUAUAGAAGUAUUGUCUACGUUUAGUCCUCUGAAAACUACCCAGCUAUCACAAAAGUUCUAAACAUAUACCAGUAAAUAUCUUACUCUUUUCCUUAGUAGAAAGUAGAUUUCCAGAUGCAAUUUCUUCAUCACUUCAUUUUCAUCUGUAUUUUAGAAAAUCACCCCAUCCUUUUGUUCUGUAACAUUGAACAUAUGGGUAUACUCUUGCAGAAUGAAGCUUUUAACAUGGAGUGGAAAAUUAUAACCUCUCUCUCUCUCUCUCUCUCUCUCUGUGUGUGUGUGUGUGUGUGUGUGUGUCUAAUGCACUCCUCAGAGUUUGGUCUCAAGAGCCCAACACAAAUUAGCCAUCGUGUCUCUGGAAACUUGGACUCAGGAGUUACACUAAAAUUAAAGCAGUGUUUCUAAAGACUUAGCCCCAGGAGUCUAACACAAAUAAUCAAGGUAUGUAAAAAACAAAACAAAACAAAACUUCCAGUUUCUAAACAGCAUACUUUCUAAUAUUUAAAAUAAUAAUAUUGCUACACAAGUCUGUCUGGAACCUUCUGGUUUCAACUGGACUUUCUCAGACUCAUUUCUUCUUUUUUUAAAAAAAUAAUGUUUUUAUUUAUUUUCAUGGUACCGAGAGUUGUAUGACGUAUGACUGGCUCAGUGUUCCCCGCUCCUUCUCUCUCCCCCCCCCCCCCGCUGUGUUUUGGUCAAUGCUCUAAAUUUCACCCAGGUGUUUAUCUUGUGAAUUGUCAUGAGAGCUUGUGAUGAAGGUUGGUUUUUAAAUCUAAUAAGUAGUUAAAUAAUAAUAAUAAUAACUCUAAGGAAAUACUAUAGUAUUCCACCAGGGGGGAAAAUGGUUGGAAGGGUAUCCUUGAAACUACCAUUUGCAAUGCAGACAUGGGGUUUCACAUCUGUUUCUGCUAAUAUUGGUCUCUAAAUAUAAAUUUGUGGAUUUUUUUACAUUCAAAUACAAGGGCCAGCACCUCUAAUUCUAUUUGUGUGUGGUUGCUUUUGGGGUUGGUGAGAGGGCUUGUAGCACAUACUACUUGUCUCCAGAGUUUCCAUAUCUAUGUAAGAUUUAAGGUGUAUCACUGUUGACUUUGGUUGCCCUGGGUAAAAUAUAGUGACUGACAUACAAAUACAUAAAUUAACAAGUUAACAUUUGGUUGUUGUUGUUGUUGUUGUUGUUGUUUUUAAAAAAAUACAUUAUAAAAGCAGUUCCUAUGCCUACUCUGGAGAUAACUAUGGACAAUUAAUAAUCAGAAUAUUGUGUUCAAAUCUUUAGACUAUCUUAGCAUGCCAUGUCUACAGAACAUGAAGUUCUUUUCAUUUAUUCAUAAAGAUUCCAUACAUUUGAGUACUUCCAGCCUUGAUGUAUGGAAGUGAGAGCUGGACCAUAAAGAAGGCUGAUCGCUGAAGAAUUGAUGCUUUUGAAUUAUGGUGCUGGAGGAGACUCUUGAGAGUCCCAUGGACUGCAAGAAGAUCAAAUGUAUCCAUUCUUAAGGAAAUCAGCCCUGAGUGCUCACUGGAAGGACAGAUCGUGAAGCUGAGGCUCCAAUACUUUGGCCACCUCAUGAGAAGAGAAGACUCCCUGGAAAAGACCCUGAUGUUGGGAAAGAUUGAGGGCACAAGGAGAAGGGGACGACAGAGGACGAGAUGGUUGGACUGUGUUCUCGAAACUACAAACAUGAGUCUGACCAAACUGCGGGAGGCAGUGGAAGACAGAAGUGCCUGGCGUGCUCUGGUCCAUGGGGUCACGAAGAGUCGGACACGACUAAAUGACUAAACAACAACAAAAACAACAACAGCCUUGUGAGGUCCAAAGGAACUUUGCAAGGAACAUGUGUCACUGGUCUUUUUGGCUAUAGUAUUUAGAUUUUAUAUACAUCGCUCACUUUACCCAUUCCUCCAAAAACAUAAGGGUACCUUUGUUCAACGUGAAUGUUUUUAUUUGGCAAAUUGUGUGUCAUCUUUCAAUGAAUCCCAGAGCAUGACUAGUUUUUUCUCCAAGCAAUGGUUCUGUAUUUCCAUACACUAUCACAAAUAGGAUGGACUCUAUCUGUUCUGGGAAGCUGACCCUCGAUUUCCUUUGUAGAAUUACUUUCCCCAUGUGGAUCUUAACUCUUACAUUUUCCAAAAGGAUGUGGUUUUGUUUUUUAAGAUUUUGAGAAACUGUGUCAGUGGCCACUGUAUCAGAUUCCCUUACUAAAGAUGGGAGGUGGGAAACAUGACCAAUUUCCUGGCUUUCUAAAAGAUACAACUUUCCCUAGUAACAACACUGGAGGCAUUUUAACUCUUUGUCGGUAAAAAACAGCCAGGUGUUCUACUUAUGGGAAGGAUGCCCUGUGUCCACUUAUCUGCCACCAAAGGUUCAAAGUAAAGAGGAGGCACUUCUGGAACAAAGAUAGAAUUUUAUAGAUUUACAUUCAUUGAGGAUUCAAACUUAAUAGUCACUGUCUUAAGGCACAACACUUCAUUUUAGAAAUGUUACUUGAGUGGGAUGCAAUAGUUUCAGGCAAAAACUCUUUACACAGAACUUAUAAACCCCAGUCAAAACACUAGUUUAAAACUAGUCUCAGGAUAGACCUUUUCUAACUAAAAUGGAUAUUCGUGUCACUGCCUAGCAAGAAUCUCAUAGCCCCUUCUAGGGUUUUUUCCUUAGCCUCAAGGAAGCAAUUGGGUAGCCUUCUAAAACUAAUCCCAAAAUCCAAUCAGAACAGGUCCUUCUCAUCUGAAGUUCCUAAACAAGGGCUCAUCCACAUUUUUCCUUUUCCCAUGGCUAGAAAACCCACUUUAGCUUUAAAUAAAAAGAAAUGACAAUCCCAGAAAAGCUGAUUGCCAGAUGAAUGCACUGGGUCAGAAAGGGUACACAUGCACUAUAUGACAGACAUUCCCUCUUUAAAUGUAUGAUUAACAGGCUAUGUGAACAGAGAUGCAACAUUGUUAAUGGUACAUCUAAGCUGGAGGAACACAAGAUGUCAUUGUGACACCUGGCAGAUUUUGAGUCUGCAUAUCAAAAUGUAUCUAGAAGAUGUAACUGGUCAUAUCUCCACAGAUCCCAAUGCUUAUACCUACAGAGAGAAGUGUAAUCGUUUCAGUAUAAGUCUGGAAAAGAUAUUAAUAGAAGAGUGCUUCACACCCAAGAGCUUUGAUACAGCAUUUUUAAUCUCCUUAUUUCUCAUGCUGUAAAUCAUUGGAUUGAACAUGGGUGGUACAAUGGUAUACAUCACAGUUAUUGCAAAGUCCCCAUUAGAUGGAAUUUUUGAGGGAGGCCUAAGAUAAGCAAAUGCUGCUGUGAAACAAAAUACGGAGAAGACAACAAGGUGAGGUAUGCAAGUGGAGAAGGCCUUUUUCCUUCCCUGAACAGAAGGAAAUUUCAGAACCACAGUAAAGAUAUGUACAUAAGUGACAACAAUGAAGACAAAACAUCCAGACAUAAGUAUUACACUCACUACUAUAGCUCCAAUUUCCAUUAGGUAUAUGUUAGAGCAGGCAAGUGUAAGUAACUGUGGGAUCUCACAAAAGAACUGAUUGACAAUGUUUGAGCAGAAAGGAGUCACAAAAGUUGCACUAGUGUGCAUGGCCGCAUUGAGAAAGCCAGAGACCCACACACCAGCAACCAUUUGUUUGCAGGCUGCCCUGUUCAUCACCAUUUCAUAUUGUAAUGGAUGGCAAAUGGCAACAUAGCGAUCGUAUGCCAUGACUGUAAGAAGGGAAACAUCAGAUGAUGAGAAAAAGAAAAAUGAAAGAACUUGAGCAAUACAUCCAGUGUAAGAUAUGUGUCUGAUAUUCAUGAGGGAAUUGGCCAUCGAUUUAGGGAUGGUGACAGAAACAGCCCCUAGGUCCUGGAUGGCCAAGUUCAUCAGAAAGAAGUACAUGGGAGUGUGAAGAUGGUGGUCAAAAGCUAUGGCAGAGAUGAUGAGAAGAUUCCCAAAUACAAUUACCAUGUACAAUACCAGGAACAGAGAGAAGUGUAGAAUCUGCAGUUCCCGUACAGCUGAAAACUCCAGGAGUAGAAAUUCAGAGAUAGAGGAUUCAUUGCCUAUCUUUGCAUUCAUUACUAAAAUGACUGGUGCUUCUAGAAGAAAACAGGAAGAUAAGCACAGGUUUAAGUCCUUUUCUAAUAAUCAAUAUUUGUUAUCCAAUACUGCUUCAGAUAUGAUUUUUGUGGGAUAUAGAUUUUUUAAAAAGUAGUGAACAAAAUAGUGUAAUAAUAAAUCUUCAUGUAAAGGAGAUGUUAGCUUCAACUCCAUAUAUGUUAAAAUAAAUUAUUGCUAAGUAGUCUUUUUUCUUCUGGGAAUUAUAGGGGUAGAGCUACCCAAAGAGCAUUGAAAUUUAUUCACGUAUGCUACUACAAUGGCAAGAAAGUUAUUUUCCCAAAAAUUGAAAGAAAAAGAAGAAUCGACAAAAGAAGAAUGGAUACAAAAACUUAUGGACUAUGCAGAAGUGGCAAAAUGUACUGGAAAAAUAAGAAAUCAAGCUAACAAACAUUUUAUUAAAGAAUGGACUGAGGUAGACGGAGACCUCCAGGUAUCCCACCUGGGGGGAGGUGAAGCCAAGCCUGUGGCAAUGGUGCCACAUAGGGUCCAGGGGGCUGCACAUGACCACACAAAGGGCGCCCCCAUGUGGGGAGCGGUCAUUACUGAAUAUUUAUGAACAAAUUGUUGUACUAAGCUGCAGUUUCAUAAGAGUAUAUAAUUAAAGUAGAUGAAUGAAAGAAUCCGUUAAGAUAAUUUAGAAUAUUCUGGAAAUGAAAAUAAACAUAAAAAUUAAGGAACCACGGAAUGUGUCGAGUUUUGAAGUGAUAAAAUAAUUGUAAAACUAUUGAAAUGUAUAUAACUGACAACCAUAAAUAAAAAAAAUAAACUACUGCUGUUUCAAAACUAGUAGAUGGUGCUGCUCACAAACUGGAUCAUCUUAAAGGAUGGUCCUGGUUGCAGGCAGGCCCACAACACAGUUCCCCCACCCCUGGUAUGGGGGGAGUGAUGCCCUUUACGCCAGAGUGGCAUCACGAUCACCCCAGGCCUCUUUUGGCCAAUUGCGAUUGAGUGGGGUGGAUGCUGCCACUUCUGUAGUUCUAUGUCCAUCUUUGGCAUAUUUUCUGUCUAUGUGGAAGUCUGCAGAAACAAUGUGGAGAGGGGAGAUGCCUCUUGCCAUCAUCUCCAUAUUUACAACACACAUUUUGAUAAUUACUUAGAAUUACAGUAAUACUUAAAUAUAGGAGGAUGAUUAGGUGCCCAUAUAAUGGAGACUAAAAUUUGUGGGUUUUGUGUUAAUUUCCAGUGCAAUGCCCAUCACAACUUGAGUGUACAAUACCUUAACAGCUUGUUUCCUAACAUCCCUGUUUGAUCAGUGAGGUAUUUGACUGAAUCACUGGUAGUGAUUCCACAUGGCUCAGACACAGAGCACAUACUUCCCAGGAGGCAUGUAUUCAGUAUUCUGGGCUCAAUGCUUUGCAAUUCCUUCCUAGUUGAGACCACAGAGGUUUCAGGUGUUUUAAUGUUUGUUGUAUGUUUUUAACCUUAAUGUGCGCUGUGGACAGACCACAGUCUUAUAAAUGUACAAAUGUAUAGACUCUUGGAGAGAAGCUUACAGCUGCUUUGCUGCUCCCCAGAUCUUUUUGCUGCCACACUAUGACAAGACAAGAUAAGACAAGCAAAGUGCUAAAACUCUCUCCUAACUCACUAGGAGCUGCAGUGAAGGUUUGUUCUUGGUUGCAGCUCAUGGUUGGUGAGGAGAGAGGCUAACCACUAGUCUUGGUUUGGAUGGUGUGCAAGUCAAAACCUGGAGUAGCCUAAGAUGAAAGCAAAAAGGAGCACGGCAAAGCUCCUGUAAUCUUCUUUCCAGGGCAUUGCACAUUUGUGAAGUCUCACUAAGUUAAGAUUUGGCUUAGGUUAUCAUGGAAACCAGGUCACUGGGUUUUCUAUGUGCAGUCUAUAUAGGUUUCAGGAGAGACCACAUAACAAGCAGGAUUUCACAUUCUACAUAAUACACAAUAGUUGAUUUAACCCUCCAAAAACUACACAAAAGCUACACAGGUAUCACUAAAGUUAUAAAAAUAGAAACAUCUCACUCUUUUCCUUUAAAUAAAUUUCCAGAUGAAAUUUCUUUAUCACUUUAAGAUGUUCUGUAUUCUUCUAGCCACCCAUGGAUCUUUUUUUUAAUUUUUAUUUUAAUCUCUUCCGCCUUUUCUUCUGAGGCAGUGAAAAUGUUUCUAUACUCUUGCAGAAUGAAGAGUUUACCAUGGGGUGGAAAUUUAUUACUAUUGUUACAGUUAUGUUCCUAGGAGUUUGGUCUCAAGAGCCUCAAUCAAAUCAGCAAUUGUGUUCCUUGUUGGUUGGACUCAGGAGCCCCACAAAAAGCAGCAGGAGUGUUUGUUAAGCCUUGGUCCCAGGUGUCCAACACAAAUCCAUCAAAGUAUGUAAACUUCCACCUUAAACAUUGCUCAUGAAAAUAUUUAAGCUAGAAUAAACCACAGACACUUAGAUUUAUUUAUGUUUCUGUUUCUAAAAAAACCACCAUAUAAUUUAAUACUAAUAAUAGUGAUGAUGUUAAUGCCAUAUAAGUCUUUCUGGAACCUUCUUGUUUCAACUGGACCUUCUGAGACUCAUUUCUGAUAGUUGUGUGAGGUAUAACUAGCUCAGUGUUCCCCGUGUACAGUAAUUUCCCCUUACCCACUGUGUUCUCCCAUUUAGGAUAUCUGGAGGAGAUGCUGUUUAUUGCAUUUUAAUAUAUGCUCAUCUGAGGUCUGUAUUUUAUACUGUCUGAGAGCUAGUUCUUCAUUAACAACAUCCCUAUGUGUCCCUGAGAUACCGUCAUGCAUUCAACCAUCACCUUUGGUUGCAGAGGAGUCUGUGCUCAUAACCCUGUUCCAUAAUAUCAUUUUUGUCUCAGUAUCUUAUGUAUCUGGGAUUGGACACCUUGUAUUAAAUCAGAGUUAAGGUGUUAACAUGCAUGGUGGCCUGGUCCUGAGUUUUCUAUGAAACAAGAGCUCAUCAAGGGAGCUUCCCUGCUCUAAGGAUGUGGCCCUGUAAUUGUGUGUCAAGGCCCCUAAGGCACCCCCAAGAGAAAUAAAGACACAAGGACACAGCAUUUUAGGUUAAUGUUAGUUUAGGCCACAACUUUAUUGGUUACAGAAUGUGAGCGGUAUUGGCUUAGGCAUUGGCAACAACAGACUCCACUCCUGCCUGCCUUGCAGGAAGUCUGUAAGGGUAAACCACCAGUAGGGGGAGCCCUGCUGAUGCGGAUCAAAUUGAGCAUCCCCUGGAUUCCUGAAGGGAUCUUGGCAUGGCCCUAGCCGCUCCACAGGCUUUGGAUGAGAUCCAUAUCCCCAGAUUCCUUUAACAAAAUACCCUUAAGCAUGGAGGGGUAGGUGAUGGCUGCACCUUUCCUCCCCCACACAACACUAUUCCAAUGCCUAAGCACCACGCGAGCCCAAAGCUCACCACCAAUACCUUCACACCUGCAACCAACCUCUUAUGCCUUUGAUAAUAUCGGCCAACCAAACAUUAAUUUUGUGAUGCCAAAUAAGGAUCUGUUUUGAGUUCAAGUUCUGUCCAUCCGUCUGUCCCCCCCCCCCCCCUGCAAAUACUUUAUAAUCUUUACUUCACUUUCUGCCUGUCCACUAGAGUGGGACUUUUUGAGACUAGAAGUAACAUGAAAAAAUUUCUUAAGUACCUGUGAUGCAAACUUAUGGCCCAUGCCUGGGGGGGGGGGGGGGAAUAGCUCUCAAGUGUGACUAUUUCAGAAUUCUUUUGAUUGAGUUAGCACAAUGGUUAUUUCUCCAAGCACAUUAAAACUUAACUGGAUUCUCUGUAAAAAUACUUCAGCUAGAACAAGUCAUAGACACUUAGCUUGGCAAAUAUGUGAAGAUAUUUACUCACAGAGUUUCAAACCUUACAGCAAGCAAGUCUCUAUCCAUUGGCAGUACAAAAAUUAAAGAAGUAAAAGUGAUCUCAAAAAGUGACUCGGAAAUAAAAGAGCUUCAUUUCCUUGCAAAAAGGAACAUGCAAUCUUUUGGUUGCAUGUUAAGAUUCCCAGGAGCUUCCCAAUAAUAAAGAAAUAAUUGACAAGGAAUUUAGUUUUAGGUUAUUGGCAAAAUUUUGGCCACAAUUAAAUUGAUAUCAGAUAGUGAGUGGUUUGUUUAGGCGUUGGUUCCUGACUAGCUGCACCUGACCUCAGCAGGAUAACACUGACGACUGGGCCCCACCAUAUAGUCAGUACAGGUAAACACCAUGGGGGAGCAUUGGUAUGGUCACGUGACUCAAGUUCACCCCAAAAUGCUCCCAGGGACCCUUGUGUGGCCCUACCCCCCAAAAGGUGUCAACAAAAGAAAAGAUGUACUCCAUCUGACCUGUACAAAACCCCAUCUUUGAAGGAAAUGUCUGCAUGGCGGAUAACCACACCUCCCAAGGCUAGGACCUUCUUGGCCACUGCACCAUCCACGCACUUUCUGGCCUUCUCGGUGGCAGCAGGGCAGUGGCUGCCGUGUCACACAUGUCGCUGAAGCAAUUGCAACCAAAAUAUUUUGAGUUCAGGGAGAGCUGCCAUCAACUCAUCCAAGUCCUCUUGCACGCGGGAACGCAAACUUAUGCUGAGGGAAGACGGCAAACCUUUUUGCGCAGCUGCACCACCAACGCUGGGGGAAGACCUUCACAGGUCACACUUGACCGCACCAAAGGGAGGAACUCCUCCCAAAGCAUUCCCUAUCUGGACAUCCAGGAUACGUUCACAUGGGCAGGAAAGCCAAGAUGGCACCCCAGUCCAGACUCGUCAGCGCGCUUGCCAGCCCAGUGCAUGAUGCUGUGGACAACAAUCCAAAUGGCAUCAUUGGCGACGCUUCCUGAUGUAACCCUUGUCAGCGUCAGACUUCCAACAAGCCUUAUUCAUAAUCCUGUCCACUGACAGGCCCCAGUGUGCAGCCUUUGUAGCAGCACCUAUUGGGAAGGAAUUAGGCAGUAGGCAAGUCGCAGGCUGCAAUAACUGGCGCACGACAUGAGCAAAUUGAUGCCUGGCUAACAGGGACCCGUUUUAGUGCUCUAGGAGUGGGCCAGCCCCCAGGGGGAUGAAGAGCCCUAGGCAAGGGCCUGCAUCACCAGUGACCGGAAGCCUGAUGGUGGCACCCCUGCCCACUAGGUCUGUCUUAGAGCUCCUGACUCUAACAACAAGCUCCAAAGCAGAUAAGGAAAAGUCCUGAAGCAAUAAGCCUCCAGACUCUCCACCCCAUGCUGGCUCCAACACAAUUUCCCCAACUCUCAGUACACCAAAACUGCAAGGGAAUACUGAAAGGAGUCUCGCCUCAAUCUUUAACCAGAGACAAGUCUUAACUUGUUGCGGAUACUGCAUAGAAGGUCAAAAUUGACCGGUUUCCUGCCCGCUGUCCUGUGAGGUUGGAGCCUAUUCCCACCUUCCAAAGCCCUGUGCAUGACAAACUUUUCACAAAGGUCUCUGGAAAAGAAAGCUUUAUUAUAACAGAAAUUGCAGUGGACUGAAAUCUGAUAGUUUUCAGCACGUCCGAUCUGCAGCAGGUGGGCCAACACUAUGAACUGUGCUCAGAAACGUACUGGGAGGCAAUGUAGGUCUUUCAAGACCAGUGUUGUCAUUUCAUCUAGGUGCUGUCACUCCUCUGAAAACCUGAAUAGUCUGUUAAAAUGGCUCUUUGCAUGAUGUGGGGUGACAGAGUAGACAGGAAACAUGACCUGUUACUAUCCAUAAACCAGAGGAUUAAGUGCUACUGAGAUGUGUUCAGCCUGUUAUAGGCCACUUUGAAAACCAUGCAAGUGAACAAUGGGGUAUAAACUUCAACAUACAUACAUAAAUGUAUUAUCAGCAUGCCAUGAGAUCUGACAAGCAAAAGUGUGAUAGAGCUGAGCUGAAGGAAUGCAAGAUGACCAUUUGAAACAAGGCAGAUGUUGAGUUUGAAUAUCUGAAUCUAUUAGGAAAAUUUAACUUGAAAUGAUGCUGUGUUCCAGGAGCGCCCUUUAAUUAUACCUUUUCAAAACAAGCCUGGAAGAUAUAUACAGAGAAGAUUUCCUCAAAGCCAACAGUUUUGAUAAUGCAUUUUUUAUCUCCUUAUUUCUCAUGCUAUAGAUUAUUGGAUUGAACAUGGGUGGUACAAGACUAUACAUCACAGUUAAUGCGAAGUCCCCAUCAGAUGGAGUCUUAGAGGGAGGCCUAAGGUAAGCAAAACAUCCUGUGAAACAAAAUACGGAGAAGACAACAAGGUGAGGUAUGCAAGUGGAGAACGCCUUUUUCCUUCCCUGUACAGAAGGGAUUUUCAGAACUGCAGUAAAGAUGUGCACAUAAGUGACAACAAUGAAGAGAAAACAUCCAAACACAACUAUUAUACUCACCACUAUAGCUCCAAUUUCCAUUAGGUAGAAGUUUGAGCAGGCAAGUGUAAGUAACUGUGGGAUCUCACAAAAGAACUGAUUGACAAUGUUGGAGCAGAAAGGGGUUGCAAAAGUUGCACUUGUGUGCAUGACUGCAUACAGAAGGCCAGCGACCCACACGCCAGCAACCAUUUGUUUGCAGGCUGCCUUGUUCAUCAACAUUUCAUAUUGUAAUGGAUUGCAAAUGGCAACAUAGCGAUCAUAUGCCAUGACUGUAAGAAGGAAAAUAUCAGAUGAUAAGAAGAAAAGAAACAACAGAACUUGAGCAACGCAUCCAGUGUAAGAAAUGUGUCUGGUAUUCAUGAGAGAAUUCACGAUGGAUUUGGGGAUGGUGACUGAAACAGCCCCUAGGUCCUGGAUGGCCAAGUUCAUCAGAAAGAAGUACAUGGGAGUGUGAAGGUGGUCGUCAAAAGCUAUGGCAGAGAUGAUGAGAAGAUUCCCAGAUACAGUUGCCAGAUACAAUGCCAGGAACAGAGAGAAGUGUAGAAUCUGCAGUUCCCGUACAGCUGAAAACUCCAGGAGCAGAAAUUCAGAGACAGAGGAUUCAUUACUUAUUUUCUCCUUCAUUAAUAAAAAAUUUCCUGUCACUGGAAGAAAACAGAAAGAUAAACAUUGGUUUAAGUCCUCUUGUGAUAACAAAUAUUUACUACAUUGGAAGAGGGUUUUUGGAUGUUGAAGGUAAAAGAAGUGAACAAAAAAGGAGAAACAAAUAUUUAUUUAAAUGAGAACAUAGCCUUCAACUCAUAUAGAUAAUAUAUCAUUAUUUUAAAAUAAACUUCCCACUUUUUCAAAACUAGUAGAUGUUCUCAAGCUCUUGAAGUUUAAUGCUGCCACUGCUAGAGGAGGAACACAGAGGUCCUACUGCCAUCAUUGCCAUACUUGCUUAGUAUAUGGCAAUAUGCAGAGGACAGAUGUACCUUGAGAGAAUUCCCAUAUUUACAAAAGGUAUUUUGAUAUUGUAAUUCAGCAUCAAAACUGAAGUAACUCUCAAAUAUAAGGGGAUAACUUGCUGCCUAUAUGAUGCAGAUUCAAAAUCAAGUUUAUUCUAUUAAAUGCAAUGUCCAUAACAAUCUGGGUCAUGUAUAUGUUAAAAGCUUGAUUCCUAAUAUCCCUGUUCUUUCAGUGAGGUCUUUGGCAAGAGUCACUGAUAAUAGUUCCACAUGUCUCACACACUUGGCACAUACUCAUCUAUAUUCUAAAUUCUAGGCCUAAUAUUUAGUACUCCUUCUUAGUUACAGGUUUCAACUGUUCUUAUCUUUGUUAUAUGUUUUUAACUUUAAUGCAUGCUGUGCACAAACCACAUUGUUUUGCAUGUAAAAUGUAUAGGUUCAAAGCUGCUUUGCUCCUCCCCAGACCUUUUUGUUGCCUCCUUAUGCUAAGCCAAGAAAAGGUACUUCAGCUCUCUCUUCACUCACUUGGAGCUGCAGUGAAGGUUUGUUCUUGGUUGAAGUUCAUGGUUGGUGAGGAGAGAGGCUAACCGCUAGUCCUGUUUUGGAUGACAUGCUGAAACAAAACUUGGAGCAGCUUGAGCUGACAGUAAAAAGGAUCAUGGAGGAGUAUAGCUACUGUGCUUUCCUCUCCAUGAUGUUCAACAUUUGUGCAAUCUUCCCAAGAUAAUAUUUGGUUUAGUAUGUCAUGGAAACCAGGUCAUUGGGUAUUCUAUGCAAGUCUCAAUAAGUUCCAGGAGAGACUGCAACAAGCAGGUUUCCUGAUUCUACACAAUACACUAUAGAAAUAUUGUCUGUGUUUACUCCUCUGAAAACUACACAGGUAUCACUAAAGUUAUAAACUUAUAAAUAUCUUACUUUUUUCCUUAAUAGAAAGUUGAUUUCCAGAUGCAAUUUCUUCAUCACUUUAUUUUCAUCUUUUUAAAUAAUAAUAAUAAUCAUCCCAUCCUUUUCUUCUGGAACAGUGAACCUAUCUGUAUACUCAUGCAGAAUGAAGCUUUUACCAUGGGGUGGAAAAUUAUAACAUGUGUACACACACACACACAAAAACCCACACACACUCCUCAGAGUUUGGUCUCAAGAGCCUAACACAAAUGAUCAAUUGUGUCCCUGGAAGCUUGGACUCAGGAGUCCCACAAAAAUUAAAGCAGUGUUUCUAAAGACUUGGCCACAUGAUUCUAACACAAAUAAUCAAGGUAUUUAAAUAGAAAGAAAGAAACAACUUCCUGUUUCAAAAUAGCAUACUACAUAACAUUUAAAAUAAUAAUAAUGCUAUAUAAGUCUCUCUAGAACCUUCUAGAAUCAGGUAGGUAGCCGUGUUGGUCUGCCACGGUGGAAAUAAAUAAAUAAAUCUUGAAAAGAUUAUUAAAAAAAACUAUUCCAAAAAAAUCCUUUAAAAGAAUCAAGUCCUUUUUAAAAAAAAAAGUCCUAAAACAGUCUUUAAAAGAAUCCUUCCAAAUUUUUUUUUUAUUUUUUUUUUAAAUUGUCCAGUAGCAGCUUAGAGACCAACUAAGUUAUUCUGGGUAUAAGCUUUCGUGUGCAUGAACACUUCUUCAGAUACUCUGAAACAGAAGUCACCAGACCCUUAUAUAUAGUGGGAGGGUGGGGAGGAGUAUUUCUCAGAAGGGUGGUGGGAAUGGGUGCUUGGCUGAUGGAACCUUCUGGUUUCAACUGGACUUUCUUACACUCAUUUCUUUCUUUCUUUUUUGAAUAACGUUUUUAUUUAGUUUCAUGAUACAGAGAGUUGUGUGAAGUACGACUGGCUCAGUAUUCCCCACUCCAUUUCCCCCCUCUGCUGUGUUCCUCCCACUUCUGCCAUUCUUUCUUCUCCUUUUCGAUCUCCAGAAGAGUUGCAGUCUGUUGCAUUGCAAUGCUUGCCUAUCUGAGGUCACCUUUAGUUGUCAAGCUAUCAGUGAUAUUAUUUUUGUCUCAAUCUCUUAUGUAACUGAGACUGAACACCUUGUGUUACGUCAGAGUUAAGGUGUUUCGCACAUUGUAGUCUGGUCCUGACUUUUCCAUGAAACAGAAGCUCAGCAGGGGAUCUUCCCUUUUCUAGUGAUGUGACCUUGUAAUUUAGUAAUGCCAAAUAAGAACCUGUGUUAGUCAUAGGCUUUUUUUCAGCAAAUCCUUUGCAAUUUUCACUUUGAUUUAUGCCAGCCCACUAGACUAAAGCCUCUGUAUGUGGGACUAGAGGUAACAUUGAAAAUAUAUAUAUAGUAAACUUCUUAAAUAUUUGUGAUGCAAUCUGAGGGUCAUUAUCAUUCCUGAAAAUCUGAGGUAACCAUGCCUGGGAAAAGAUAGCUCUCAAAUGCUAUUCUCAAUUGUGACUAUUUUUGUGUAAUUUUGUUGCAGAAAGAGGUUUUGAAGGGAGAUUCUUCAACUUCUCAUAGUAGAGUUGAUACAAUUGUGAUUUCUCCAAGCACAUUAAAACUUAGUUGGAUUUACAUCUGCCGCCCUCGACCUUUAAACAAACAUUUUCCCUGUAAAUACUUCAGCUAUAAUAAAUGAUAGACACUUUAGCUUAGCAAGUAGGUGAAGAUAUCUACUCACAUAGUUUCAAAAGUUGCAGCAGGUAAAUCUCCAUCCAUUGGAAGUAAAUCAAACAAAACAAAACAAAACAAAGAAGUAAAAUGUUCUAAAUGACUUAAAAGGAAAAGAGCUUGGUUUCGUUACAGAAAGGAAGAUGCAAUCUUUGAGUUAGCAAAGAUGCAGGCUGUAAAAUCACAUUUUGGGAAGAUUCAGUUCACUUGGGCUCUUUUGUAGCUGGGAGCCAUGCUACAACUGCAGCUUAUUCCAGGAAGCAGCAGAGUGGAGGGACAGAGCCUACUUGGAGUCUGCUAACUCCACCUACCUAGCAACUUGAUCUCUGUUGGAUCUAGGAAGCUUUGGAUCUAGGAAUUCUUUGUGUGGAAUUACUUCCCCAUUGUGAACUUCCUGUCCUCUAUUUUGUUUUCUAAAAGGACAAGGCUUUUUAUUUUAUUUUUAAGAUUUUGAAAGAUUGCGCCAGUGAUCUCUGGUCAGAGUCCCUCACCAAAGAUCAGAGCUGGACAACAUGAUUCACUUUCUAGGUGUUUAAACAAUUCAACUCUCCCAAGUAACAGUUUUAAAUCUUUGUGGUAAUGUGUGUUUAUUUAAACUGCAGCCAGGUGUUCUACUUACAGGUAUGUGAAGGAUGCCCUGUAUCCACUUAUUGCCAACCCAGAGGUCAAAGUAGUGAGAGGAAGAAAAAUAAACUUUUAAUGUAUUUAAA
Non-coding RNA from Podarcis lilfordi (Lilford's wall lizard), 20852 nucleotides. Lineage: Eukaryota; Metazoa; Chordata; Lepidosauria; Squamata; Lacertidae. The record is from the annotation of a GenBank genome assembly.